GUUUACCUCUUAGCCAGGAAACCCCCCCACAUACACACCCAGGGAGUGGCUGACUCUCAGCCAGGACUCACCCUCCCCCCCCCCACCCCGGCAAGAGACGGACUCAGCCAGUACUGGCUGCUCCCCCACCCUGGGGCGGCGGGCGGGAGGGAUACCAAACUAACCGCCUCUCCCCCCUCACACACACCCCAAGGGGGAGGAGCGGAGAUAUUAUUUCCCAUGAUGCCCAGUGCGUGGACGGCCGGAAGGACCACAGCUGUUGGAGGAGGUGGACACUUCAUGGCCCCGCGGCGGGGCAGAUGAGAGAGAGGCCUUGUCCCCACAGACUCACCCCAUCACACUGGCUGAAGUAUUUUGGCAUGGAAACCGACCAACUACCACAUUAACCCAAUACAGCCUUUGAAUGAAACCCUACAGGGCAGGAUGCCUAGAGCCCUAGGUCGCAGCAGGUGGAACAGACCAGAUUGAGAUGCUUCGGCACCAGAUCUGGGGACCGGCUCCUUAUCAACCAGUUGUCAAGGAGCCUGACCUGGAAGCCCCCAGGACCUGGACUGUGGCAGAGGAGGCGGGAGUGGAGGAUGGAAGGCUUCCUAGACUGCUGAGGGGUAUACCAGCUCAAGGAGCAGAGGGUGGCUUGGGAGUCCUUAAGCCCAUGGAGCCUUGAGUCAGUUAGCUUGGAAAAGAGCCCUGUACCCUCCAAUGGGAGGUCCUGGAUUGUGGCCUCCAUUUCAGGGGACAGCCCAGAAGCCUGCAACCACAAGCUAUGCCUCAUGGUCACUGCUGAUGUGACCUGGCCGUGAAGUCCGUACUAUCCCAGGCCAUCUGGAGGACUCCUCUGGCCACUGCUGUGCCUUCGCUCACUAAUGCAGUGAACUCUUUGGCAUGAUCCCAUGAAAUGAUUAAAGGAAACCCACAGGUUGAAGUUAUAAUGUCCCAGCAGGGUCUGGUGAUUAGACACUCCGAACUGCAAGCUGGCCAUCAAAUAAACCUUUUGGCCAAACAA
Long non-coding RNA from Chrysemys picta bellii (western painted turtle), 1003 nucleotides. RefSeq lists it as uncharacterized. NCBI's taxonomy places the organism in Eukaryota, Metazoa, Chordata, Testudines, Emydidae. The record is from RefSeq and is a predicted model, not a curated record.